Molecule: long non-coding RNA, 982 nt
Organism: Triticum dicoccoides
Lineage: Eukaryota; Viridiplantae; Streptophyta; Magnoliopsida; Poales; Poaceae
Exons: 2
Source: RefSeq, a predicted model, not a curated record
CCCCGGUGGUCUGCCCGGAAAGCUAUGUACGGGACUGGGCCUUGUGAUUAGUCGCAUUUGGUGCGUCUCGCACGAAUUCCUUUCCCCGUCUUGGUGGGCGAAGAGCAAGGUGAGCAGCAAGAACAGCACCGGCGUCGGGGCCGCUUCCUGUUCCGGCUGGCGCUGCUCAUGGCGAAUCUCAGAGCGAAGACGGAGGCGGCGUUGGACUCUGGAACGAUCUCAUCGGCAACGGGUUCAGAGGCGUGCGAGCCGCCGUUUGUUUUGGGCGAGGGCGGUGACGCUUUGCCCGAUUCGGCCGUAGUCUCGCCGGAUUCGGCCGUCGAAGCUCCCUCGCCGGACAUUCGUCGGUUGGAUCGAGGGGUGGGCUUGCUGAUGUCCAGUCCUCCGGGGCUUCCUGCAAGAGCUUCAGUGCUGGUGGCGGAGAUGUGGCGUCCGCAAACCCCGGGUGCGGGACUCCUGCCGUCUUCUCGCGCACAUCCGCCGAGUCCAGCCGCCGCAGUGGCUCUUCGGGUUCCUGCACGACAUUCAGUUCUGGGGGCGUGGUCGUGCCGUCGGCGCGAGACUGCGACGAUACGCCGGCCGUCGUCUCGAGCUCGGUCGUGCAGUCCUUAGCCCAAAACGGGCCGGGUUCGGGGAACACCACCAUCCGCGUUGGCUGGAAGCGCAGCUAGCUACUGAUUUUCUGCCGUUUACGCCAAUUGUGCAUUUUCCUGUUCUCAGUCGUGCGAGCAAGUACUGAAAUAUUCAUUAGACUUGUGAAUUUGGGUAGGGCUCUGGAUAAAGACUGGAGGAAACAACAGAAAUCUGAAUCAACCCUUCCCAACAAGUUCGUAGAUGUUUUGCUUAAGCCCUAACCAGUGGUUGGUCAGCAAAAAAAUACCCGUGCCACUGCUGUAGUAUGUCCCUGGUUAAUUUUCAGUGACAAAAAGAGCUUGAAUUGCUAGUAAUAAGAAGCACCGUAAUUGCGUGAUUAAGUUCUUUC